AACCUCCGCAAUGUGAGAAAUCGCGACGGGGGGAUCCCAAGUGCCAUUCUUAACGGGAUGGCUUUUCAUUAGUGUAAAGAGCUUUUGGAAUAAGAGCUGGGCAAGACCGGUGCCAGCCGCCGCGGUAACACCGGCAGCUCUAGUGGUAGCAAUUUUUAUUGGGCCUAAAGCGUCCGUAGCCGAUUUAAUAAGUCUCUGGUGAAAUCCUGCAGCUUAACUGUGGGAACUGCUGGAGAUACUAUUAGACUUGAGAUCGGGAGAGGUUAGAGGUACUCCCAGGGUAGAGGUGAAAUUCUGUAAUCCUGGGAGGACCGCCUGUUGCGAAGGCGUCUAACUGGAACGAUUCUGACGGUGAGGGACGAAAGUUAGGGGCGCGAACCGGGAUUAGAUACCCGGGUAGUCCUAACUGUAAACGAUGCGGACUUGGUGUUGGGGUGGCUUUGAGCUGCUCCAGUGCCGAAGGGAAGCUGUUAAGUCCGCCGCCUGGGAAGUACGGUCGCAGACUGAAACUUAAAGGAAUU
RNAcentral lists this ribosomal RNA (521 nucleotides) under uncultured bacterium. RNAcentral describes it as "bacterial SSU rRNA". It matches the Rfam family "Archaeal small subunit ribosomal RNA", at positions 345 to 866 of the family's 1478-position model. The record is from RNAcentral.